GACUUUCUUCACAGAAUUGGAAAAAACUACUUUAAAGUUCAUAUAGAACCAAAAAAGAGCCCGCAUCGCCAAGUCAAUCCUAAGCCAAAAGAACAAAGCUGGAGGCAUCACACUACCUGACUUCAAACUAUACUACAAGGCUACAGUAACCAAAACAGCAUGGUACUGGUACCAAAACAGAGAUAUAGAUCAAUGGAACAGAACAGAGCCCUCAGAAAUAACGCUGCAUAUCUACAACUAUCUGAUCUUUGACAAACCUGAGAAAAACAAGCAAUGGGGAAAGGAUUCCCUAUUUAAUAAAUGGUGCUGGGAAAACUGGCUAGCCAUAUGUAGAAAGCUGAAACUGGAUCCCUACCUUACACCUUAUACAAAAAUUAAUUCAAGAUGGAUUAAAGACUUAAACGUUAGACCUAAAACCAUGAACUACUACUUGACAAAUAUAUAACAGGAAAUAUAUCAGUUAUGAUUGCUUAAUCUAAAAAUAACAGAAAUAGAAUCUAUAAACAACACUCAAUAAACUAGAUAUUGAUGGAACGUAUCUCAUAAUAAUAAGAGCUAUUUAUGACAAACCCACAG
Molecule: long non-coding RNA, 576 nt
Filed under: Pan troglodytes (chimpanzee)
Lineage: Eukaryota; Metazoa; Chordata; Mammalia; Primates; Hominidae
Description: long non-coding RNA NONPTRT013212
Source: RNAcentral